ACACGAACCGUCCGAACGUUAUUCGGAAUCACUGGGCUUAAAGGGUGCGUAGGCGGUGCGGUAAGUUGGGUGUGAAAUCCCUCGGCUCAACCGAGGAACUGCGCCCAAUACUGCCGUACUUGAGGGAGACAGAGGUAAGCGGAACUGAUGGUGGAGCGGUGAAAUGCGUUGAUAUCAUCGGGAACACCGGUGGCGAAAGCGGCUUACUGGGUCUCUUCUGACGCCGAGGCACGAAAGCUAGGGGAGCGAACGGGAUUAGAAACCCCAGUAGUCC
Molecule: ribosomal RNA, 274 nt
Filed under: uncultured bacterium
Lineage: Bacteria
Description: partial 16S ribosomal RNA
Rfam family: Bacterial small subunit ribosomal RNA
Source: RNAcentral